This 77-nucleotide transfer RNA is filed under the name Erysipelothrix sp. Its description in RNAcentral is "tRNA-His". It matches the Rfam family "tRNA". From Rfam's summary of the family: Transfer RNA (tRNA) molecules are approximately 80 nucleotides in length. RNAcentral also lists the same sequence under 3 other names. Lineage: Bacteria; Bacillati; Bacillota; Erysipelotrichia; Erysipelotrichales; Erysipelotrichaceae. The record is from RNAcentral.
GCGGCCGUGGCGAAGUUGGUCAACGCACCGGAUUGUGGCUCCGGCACUCGCGGGUUCAAGUCCCGUCGGUCGCCCCA